Molecule: long non-coding RNA, 5142 nt
Filed under: Piliocolobus tephrosceles (Ugandan red Colobus)
Lineage: Eukaryota; Metazoa; Chordata; Mammalia; Primates; Cercopithecidae
Description: lncRNA (ENSPTEG00000023438.1)
Source: RNAcentral
AGUGCGGGACGCAGUCUGGCGGCCGGGCUGACGGUAAACUUGGAUGGUGAACAGCUCCACGCAGCCCUGGAGAGGAAGGCAGAGGACAGCCGCCAGGGGCUGGUGCUGGGGCUGCACCACAGCCUCUCGGGGCUGCAGGGCAUCCUGCCCUCCCAGCUGGAGAUGAGUGGGUUGGGUGCCCAUGUGGGCCAGGCUUCAGCCUGCACCAGGCCCUGCCUGGUAGAAUGAAGACAGUGGAGGCCCUGGUCCCUCAGUUCCUCCCUGGGGCUCCUGUCCUGGAGAAGCCCCACACCCGCAGCUGUCGUCUUCAUUGUUCUCAUAAACGAAAAGCAGGAAAGCACCUCGGAGCCCGUCCCCGCGGGUGGCUAAACCGUCCAUGGUGGGAGAUGGAAUGUGAGUGACCAGGGCUCCUGGCCUGAAGCCAGGCUGCACCAUCGCUGACUGUGUGACCACACGCAAGGUGCUUCCUCUUUCCCUGACUCGUGUGACUCAGUUUCCUCAUCUGCCACCUCCUUCCAUGGUUACUCUGAGGUUCAGUUAGCACCGUGCCUGGCGCAGAGGCCCUGCAUGCGGGGAGCUCUGCUUACCUUCAUCUGAUGAUAAGGCUGUGGCUUCGCCCUCAAGUCUUUGUGCAAACCUCUCUUUUGGGUUAUUUGCCCUUGGUGGCUUCCCCAAAGGGUAGGGUCAAGUGGGUUCUUGGCACCCACGACAGUUCACUCUGGGGUCGGAGAAGAAGUCAGCCCUUUCCCACCCACUGGUCUCUGUAGGUCAACUGCAGUGGAGACGCCUCGCCCACCCAACUGUUAGGACGGUGCCGAGGGGACAUCGCUGGGCAGCCUCUCGAGGUCUCUGUGGACAUUGACAAUGGCAGCUCCGGCUUCGAGCAUUCUGGACGCAUCAUGAUGGGGCCCACAUUCCUCAACUACUCUGUGAGCUGCUGUUACCGUGAUGGGCACCUGGAGCUCUCCGGCCGGAGCUGGCACAAGAGUGAGGCCUUGUUGUGGGCAGGGUUCCCAGGCGAGGCCUGCCUGAGCGCUGAGCUGCAGAUAAAUGAGACCCAGACCCAGGCCAGGGCAGCCCUCCGUGGCAGGGACGGUGGAGUCAGCGUGGACCUGGCAGCCCUGGUGGCUUGGCCACUGUAUGGCCCAUUGCAGUUGGUGGCCAAUGCCAGCCAUGCAGUGCCUGCUCUCCAGAGGCUGGGCCUGCCCUUCACCAACCAGCUUGUGUUCCAAGGACUCUGGGAGGCAGAAGAGAUGAGCUCCUCGCUGCAGCUGACCUGUGAUUCUCAGGCCACCUUGGUCCUCGACGUCCGUGGCCAGAACCAGGCAGUCAGCAAAGAGCUGCUAUUCUCCGGCCAGCAUCACCUCCCCUCCCUCCUGGGCUGCUGCCCCAGCUCAGCCUCAGCCUCAGCUAAGCUACGCUACUCCAAGGGUGAGGUUCAGAGCAUGUUCGCCUUGGGCGUGGAGGAGCAUCAUUUUCACAUCAGCACCCAGCAGGUAGCUGCUAAGGCCAGUCUCAGCAACUUCAUCAAACUGGAACAGACCUUCCUGCAGCUCAGCGCUCUUCCCGGGGAGCUGGUCCUGCAGACCACAUAUGAGCGAGCUCAUGGGACCCGUGUCCUGCGCCAGGUGGUGCUGUGGGAUGGCCAGGAGGUGGCCCUCACCGGGAGCCUCUCUGGCCUUUUCCCCAAGCCCACCAGGAACUUCAGCCUGCAGGUGGAGCUCACCCACCCGCUGCCCCUCCCCCUGCCACGACACUGCAGCCUCCGCCUGUCCUCAGAGCAUUCGGGAGGCAGCCACCGGGAUAGCCUGGUUGUCGCCUGGGAUGGCAGGGACCAGGUGCUGGUCUCCUCCUCCCUGUGGCUGGGGAAGAGUGAGUUGGCCGCCCGCCUGGCCCUGGCUCACCCAUUCAACCUCUCUUGGCGGCAAGCCGAGGCCAGUGGCCUUGCUGAGAGCAGGGGUGGCAGGCAGACCCGGCAGGUGCAGCUCACCUGGAACACAGGACAACCUGUGACCCUGCAGCUCACCUGGGCUGACGGGUCCUCAGCAUACAGGACCACCUGGGACGGCUGCCUGGCCGCCUCCCCGGGGCAGCUCCAGGAAGCUUGGGGCCUGGACACCCUCCAGGCCUGCGGGGCCUUAAUGCAGACCCCAGCUGUGUUCGUUGAACAGCUCGACCUGUCCUGGGGCCAACACCGCAUAUGGCAGAACUUGACAUACGAGAGGCACCGGCCAUCUCAGCCAGGCAGGAUCAUCGCGGAGGCCACCCUGGAGCAUGUCCUCGGAACCUUUUGUACCCGGCAGAGCUUCCGGGGAGAAGUACAGACUGACUAUGCACGCUGGCUGCGGCACUCCCUCCACCUGGGGCUCUGUGACCUGCCCAGGGCCCUCUUGGUCACCGGGGAGCACGUCCUGGGCCAGGGUGGACUCCUGCUGCGUUCCCGCUGCCACCUGGGCCUCGCACCAGACCCAGACCACGGUCUGCACCUCAGCCUGACCCUCCGAAACCACAGCAGGCCUCAUUCGACUGACUUCUCCGGGACGCUGGAGCUUCAUGGCUCCAAGGCUCAGCGGGUUGGCCUACUGGGCCGUGUCUCCACCUCGGCUUCUCAAAGCCUGGUCCGACUGGAGGGAAAUGUGGACAACAGAGACGAGAAAGUGAGACUGUCUGUGUUCCGGGCCCCAAGCUGUCUCCAGGCCUCUGUGGCACAUGAGGAGGGGGGCAGAGAGGAGAGUGUGGUGCUGCGGGCAUGUGCCCACGGGCGGACAGCUGAGGUGGAGGUCCUGUUCCGGGAUGGCAGGCAGCCCUUCCAGCCGCUGGGACACCUGACCCUGCAGGCUGCCAACCACAGCCUCCUGCUGGCUGCGCACGGCUGUCGGGGGGUCCUGCUGGGCCAUGUGGAGUCCAGGAUCAUAGCAGUUGGCUCCCAGGUGCAAGCCCAACUGGAAGACAAGAUUCAAGGCUUGGGUGCCUCUGUGAGAAGGUUCCAGCAAUUGGUGCAGCUGGCAGGCACCCUGGACGGCGUGGCAGGCCUCCUUCUGCAGCUGUCCCAGGUGGGGCGGGAGGCCGUGCAGGCGAGUGGUUGGGCGGUAGCCACGUUGUGGGCCCGGAGCCAGGCCCUGACCCAGUACCUGCUUCUUUACCUGGAGUGGCUGCAGGUGGGGCUGGAGCAGCUGCGGGAUGAGCUGGAAUGGCCCCUGGCCACACUGAAGGACGCCUACCUGGAGGUGACACUGCGGCCCCUGGAGGAGGUGUGGCGGGAGCGGGCAGAGGAGGCCAUGCGGCGGCUGCAGGCCUGGGUGCCCGGGAUGCCAAGCAAUGGGGGUCCCAGGCCCAUCAGGGUGGCCCUGGGGGCGGUGAAAGGAACCCUGGAGCUGGCCGCCCACCAGCUGCUGUCCUGGGCUGAGGCCACGUUCUCACGGGCACUGAAGAGGCUCUGCAAACCCCUACUGGACCUGUACAGCCUCUCGGCCAGAAACCGCUCAGUGGUGGUGACACUGCCACUGCUGCCUGUGGGGGAUGAGCCCCUCGAUGUGGCCCAGGUGACCAGCUACCUGGUGGAGAAGCUGCUGCGGCCGCUCCGAGAGCUGUCUGGGGCCAACAUGCUGGCCGAGUACUACCGGCUCAGACGCCGCCUGCUGGAGGGCCCCUGGGACUACCAUGCCCUGGUAGCUGGGGCCCAGCACGUGGUUACCUUCGACGGCCGGGUAUGGGACCUCAGCGCCCAGUGUGGCAGCAUCCUCCUGGCCCAGGACUUUGCUCACAACACAUUCUCACUGACACGGAGUCGGACAGGCUCGGGGCUCACGGCCCUGUCCGUGGAGCUAAACCACAUGACCCUCGUCUUCUACCCCAGUCUGCAGGCCUACAGACUGUACAACUCCUCCGUGCCGGGGGAGAGCUGUCCGGACCUCGAGCUGCAUCCUACCACGACAAGGAGGAACGUCCCCAGGAUUGAGCUGGCCAGUGAGGACGGGGUCUCUGUCUCCUGUGACGUGCCCACCGGCGUCUGCAGCCUGACUCUGGGCCUCUGGCACCAUGGUAUAUCUGCUGGUCUUCUAGGCACCAAUGACAAUGAAGCAGGCAAUGAGAUGAUGUUGCCAGACGGCUCUGUGGCCCGCAGCCUGGAGCAGCUCAGCCUGGCCUGGCAGGUGGGUGGUGACUGCAGGGCCACUGAGAAGACUCAGCAGGCCUGCCGAGAACAGAGCCCCACCUGCCGGGCCUUCUUCGAGGACCCCCACUCCAGCUUGAGGAGCUGCUUCUGGGUGGUAGACCCUACACCAUUCCUCAGCCUGUGUGUGCAGGACGCCUGUGGCACCCGGGAGCUCCAGCCUGCCUGCAACCUGGUGGCCGCCUACAUCCACCUGUGUGCCCAGGGCUUUGUGCCCCUGGCCCUUCCUCCACAGUGUGUUUGAGAUGUCAUCCAAGCCAGCAUUAGGCUACCAAAGACUUCAAACUCCUUCACCUUCUACUCCAAUUCCAGUUCCUUGGCAAGGGCAAGAUUCAUGGCUGGGACAGAAUAAGCAGCAUGGAAUGCCGGGAAACUCAGAACUGCACAUGCUUCAAACGCAGGGAAUAAGAGCUCCUUGCCACUGGGCUCAAAAAUACUUCUGGGGGAAACUCUGCCACUGGUCUGGGUAAUUCUCCCCCUUCCUCCACACCUCCACUGUAAAGAGGAGACAGUGUGGCCAGCGAGUAUCAGCUCUGCAGAGACAACUCCACCUGGCCCCUGUUCAUGCCCAAGAUAUUUACUCACUUAUUCAACAUCCAUCUGGGAAGCCGCUUCAGAACACUGACUGUGUGGUGGGGGACACGAAGCCAGGCCCUCAGCAGCUUGGUACUGGUUUUCCCUGCCUGAUCCAGGGGUCUUCUGAGGCAGGAGGUUCCUUGAGGGGAACUGGUGGCCCCAAGCCUGUUAAUCAGAAGCCCAGGUAGGGAGCUUCUCUCGUUGGGGUAGACACACUGGGACGGAAUGCUUCAGGAGGCUCUGGGGAGGGCCUCCGCUUUGGUAGGGGUACCUGUGAACUCAGGCCCCCAGGCUACAGCAUUGGAAGUUUUUUACUUUCUUUUGGGAUAUAACUUUUUCCUUUGAGUUUUCAACUGAAAAAUAAAGCUGGCAGAAUCCAAGAACGUGUCUCUGGA